UACGGAGGGGGCUAGCGUUGUUCGGAAUUACUGGGCGUAAAGCGCACGUAGGCGGCUUUGCAAGUCAGAGGUGAAAGCCCGGGGGCUCAACCCCGGAAUAGCCUUUGAGACUGCAUCGCUUGAACAUCGGAGAGGUAAGUGGAAUUCCGAGUGUAGAGGUGAAAUUCGUAGAUAUUCGGAAGAACACCAGUGGCGAAGGCGACUUACUGGACGAUUGUUGACGCUGAGGUGCGAAAGCGUGGGGAGCAAACAGG
This 254-nucleotide ribosomal RNA is filed under the name uncultured bacterium. RNAcentral's name for it is "partial 16S ribosomal RNA". It matches the Rfam family "Bacterial small subunit ribosomal RNA", at positions 524 to 776 of the family's 1533-position model. The record is from RNAcentral.